RNAcentral lists this ribosomal RNA (276 nucleotides) under uncultured prokaryote. RNAcentral's name for it is "partial 16S ribosomal RNA". It matches the Rfam family "Bacterial small subunit ribosomal RNA", at positions 355 to 625 of the family's 1533-position model. The record is from RNAcentral.
UGGGGAAUCAUGGUCAAUGGGCGAAAGCCUGAACCUGCGACGCCGCGUGAGUGAUGAAGGUCGUAAGAUCGUAAAACUCUUUUCAGGGAUCUUAAAGCCUGUCUGUCAACAACAGGCAGGUCUGACUCUCCCUGGAAGAAGCACCAGCCAACUACGUGCCAGCAGCUGCGGUAAUACGUAGGGGGCGAGCGUUAUUCGGAAUUACUGGGUGUAAAGGGUAUGUAGGCGGCCCUUCAAGUCGCGUGUCAAAGUCCAGUGCGCAACGCUGGGUGUGCG